UCCGGUUGAUCCUGCCGGAGGACAUUGCUAUUGGGAUUCGAUUUAGCCAUGCUAGUCGAACGAGUUCACACUCGUGGCACAUAGCUCAGUAUCACGUGGCCAAGCUACCCUUCAGUCGGCAAUACCCUCGGGAAACUGAGGCUAAUAGCCGAUACGAAACAGACGCUGGAAUGCACUGUAUUCCAAAGACACCGCUGAAGGAUGCGGCUGCGGCCGAUUAGGUAGACGGUGGGGUAACGGCCCACCGUGCCAGUAAUCGGUACGGGUGAUGAGAGUCAGAGCCCGGAGACGGAAUCUGAGACAAGAUUCCGGGCCCUACGGGGCGCAGCAGGCGCGAAACCUUUACACUGCACGAAAGUGCGAUAGGGGAAUCCCAAGUGCGAGGGCAUAUUAGCCCUCGCUUUUGUUGACUCUAAGGCGGUCAACGAAUAAGAGCUGGGCAAGACCGGUGCCAGCCGCCGCGGUAAUACCGGCAGCUCAAGUGAUGUCCCAUGUUAUUGGGCCUAAAGCGUCCGUAGCUGGCCGACCAAGUCUAUCGGGAAAUCCACCUGCCCAACAGGUGGGCGUCCGGUAGAAACUGGCCGGCUUGGAACCGGAAGGCUCAGAGAGUACGUCCGGGGUAGGAGUGAAAUCCCGUAAUCCCGGACGGACUACCGAUGGCGAAAGCACUCUGAGAAGACGGCUUCGACAGUGAGGGACGAAAGCUCGGGUCUCAAACCGGAUUAGAUACCCGGGUAGUCCGAGCCGUAAACAAUGCUCGUUUAGGUGUGGCACCCACUACGAGUGGGUGCUGUGCCNCAGGGAAACCGCUNAACGANCCGCCUGGGA
RNAcentral lists this ribosomal RNA (828 nucleotides) under uncultured archaeon. RNAcentral describes it as "bacterial SSU rRNA". It matches the Rfam family "Archaeal small subunit ribosomal RNA", at positions 1 to 833 of the family's 1478-position model. The record is from RNAcentral.